CGUGCCAGGGCCGGCGCUGCAUGGCGCUGCUCAGCCUGCCUUGCAGAGGGAGCUCGAGUCCCGCUCUGCGCCUCGCAGCGCCUCUCCCUCCGCAGCGCACACGGCGGCAGCGCAGCGAGGCGGCGGCGAGGCAGGGCUGCGGGACGGAGCGGGCCGAGAAAAAAAAAAAACGCCCGAACCGCUUCCGCCGAAUUCCGAAACCACCCCGAGGAGGUGGAGGAGGGAGAACGGAGAGAGCCGAAAGGAGAUGAUGUUAAAGCCACACAAAUGAGAUUAUUCCUGGGACUUCCAGGAUCAGAGUCAUUUUGUACUGACGUGCAGCACCCUGCCUGCCCUGACAGAAGGCUGUUUUCCUGCUCCAAUCUCUGCAGCCAAGGUACAGCUUAUCCUGGAAGAUGGUAUUCUGCUGCAGGGAUGGGGCCAGGCUUUGGCAGAGCAAGGAGAACACACACAUAGGCUGCUGGAGCGCUGAACCGUUGGCUAUUACCCAACUGCAGCAUGUGCCAGCCAAGACCCCUGUUCUCACUCCUGCUGCCUGCAGCUGAGAGCAUGAUUCAGAGCUUUGGGAGAAAUACUGUGCUUUUGGCCUGAGGCUUGUCCAGCCCCCAAGUAGGUGGAAUAAUGCUAAGCUAGCACUGAUGGAGCAAAGCAUCUCCUGCUCGUACCUUUCCUGCAAUCCUGUCUGCAGAUAAAGCCACAUCCAAAAGCGGUUGCUCUGAAAGCAUCACCCUGACAGAUGUCAGGUUUGUUGAGGUGGUGCUGUGUCUGCUUGAUGCUGCCGUGUCCCAGAUACCCAGCACAGACCUGGGUGGCAGAGAGCUGACCAAGCUGCCCUGAGCCUCCUCCUGGCCUUGCAAGCUUAUGGUACUAAAGCACACCCCAGUAAUGAGAGAUGCCUGGGUGCCCUUGCUGCUGACGUGGUGCUUGCCAACCACUUGCAGUAAGCACGUUUCCCAUGUGGGACACCCUGUGCACCGUGGUGUGAUGCUGCUGGAGCUGACCACAGGGGUCUUUGCCACUGCUGGCGCCUUUUGCUGCUUUAACCUGCUCCCCCCUCAGAACUGUGAUGGCUGCUAAGAUGAUGAAGAGAUUGGAGCAUCUGCCAUAUAAAAAAGAGCCUGGAAGAAUGAAGGCUUGGAGCGGUUCUUAUCCAUGUCUCUCAACACUUGUGGUGGGUAAAGAAGACAGGCAGAUUCUCCUCAGUGUUUCCCAGUGACAGAACGAGAGCCAUACUGAUAACAGAAUACAGGAAUUCCAUUGAAACUAAAGAAAUGCUUUUUGUGCAGGGGUGGCUGAACACUGGAACACGUAGCACAGAAGCAUUCUGCCAUCUCCAUCCUCAGAAACAGUCAAAACCUGACACGACGUGGUCCUGAGCAGCCUGCUCGAGCAUGUUGAGUGGGGAGGAAUGGAAGGCUGUGUGAAGGCCAUGGUCAGAGGUCCUUUCCCAACUCUAUUCCAUAAUUCCUUGAUCUGCUGUGGCUUGUUAUCAUUGUAAUGAGACAUACAUGGUGCUACCAUUCUCACUUGCAGCCCUUGCCCCCCUUCUCUGCUCUGGGGCAGGUCAGGGCUUCCCUGUUCUGAGAAACCUGCUCUGCCCACUGCGGUGUGGCGCCUUGGUGAGGCUUCCCAUGCUCUGCAGCAUCUUGCUAACUCUCACAUAGCUCAGAGAAAGUGAAAGCUCCUUGCUUUGCUGAAAGAGACGCCUGCUAUACUGCUGGUAAAAC
Molecule: long non-coding RNA, 1727 nt
Organism: Lagopus muta (rock ptarmigan)
Lineage: Eukaryota; Metazoa; Chordata; Aves; Galliformes; Phasianidae
Exons: 3
Source: RefSeq, a predicted model, not a curated record